CCAUGGACACGAUCUUCGUGAAGAACGUGCGGGAGGACGGGCCGGCGCACCAGGCGGGGCUGCGCACGGGUGACCGGCUGGUCAAGGUGAACGGGGAGAGCAUCAUCGGGAAAACCUAUUCGCAGGUGAUCGCCCUGAUCCAGAACAGUGACGAUGUGCUGGAGCUCUCCAUCAUGCCCAAGGACGAGGACAUCCUCCA
This is a non-coding RNA of Cyanistes caeruleus (blue tit), 199 nucleotides long. Lineage: Eukaryota; Metazoa; Chordata; Aves; Passeriformes; Paridae. The record is from RefSeq and is a predicted model, not a curated record.